RNAcentral lists this transfer RNA (73 nucleotides) under Toxocara canis (dog roundworm). It matches the Rfam family "tRNA". Rfam says of the family: Transfer RNA (tRNA) molecules are approximately 80 nucleotides in length. The record is from Rfam by way of RNAcentral. Lineage: Eukaryota; Metazoa; Nematoda; Chromadorea; Rhabditida; Toxocaridae.
CCCUUCUUAGCUCAGUCGGUAGAACAUCAGACUUUUAAUCUGAGGGUCCAGGGUUCGAGUCCCACAGAAGGCG